This 290-nucleotide ribosomal RNA is filed under the name uncultured bacterium. RNAcentral's name for it is "partial 16S ribosomal RNA". It matches the Rfam family "Bacterial small subunit ribosomal RNA", at positions 28 to 307 of the family's 1533-position model. The record is from RNAcentral.
GACGAACGCUGACGGUGUGCUUUAGACAUGCAAGUCGAACGAGAAAGCCCUUCGGGGUUAGUAAAGUGGCGAACGGGUGAGUAACACGUGGGCAAUCUGCCCCUCGCAGGGGGACAACCGGAGGAAACCCCGGCUAAUACCCCGUAAGUUCAAAGGGAGGCAUCUCCCCCUUGAAGAAAGGUAGCUUCGGCCAUCCGGCGAGGGAUGAGCCCGCGGUGCAUUAGCUAGUUGGUGGGGUAACGGCCUCACCGAAGGCGACGAUGCAUAGCUGGUCUGAGGAGGAUGAUCAG